UGAGGAAUAUUGGUCAAUGGGCUAAGGCCUGAACCAGCCAAGUCGCGUGAGGGAAGACGGUCCUAUGGAUUGUAAACCUCUUUUGUCGGGGAGCAACGAGGCCACGUGUGGCCGAAGUGAGAGUACCCGAAGAAAAAGCAUCGGCUAACUCCGUGCCAGCAGCCGCGGUAAUACGGAGGAUGCGAGCGUUAUCCGGAUUUAUUGGGUUUAAAGGGUGCGUAGGCGGAACAUUAAGUCAGCGGUAAAAUCGAGGGGCUCAACCCCUUUAAGCCGUUGAAACUGGUGAUCUUGAGUGGGCGAGAAGUAUGCGGAAUGCGUGGUGUAGCGGUGAAAUGCAUAGAUAUCACGCAGAACUCCGAUUGCGAAGGCAGCAUACCGGCGCCCGACUGACGCUGAGGCACGAAAGCGUGGGGAUCGAACAGG
This 423-nucleotide ribosomal RNA is filed under the name uncultured bacterium. Its description in RNAcentral is "bacterial SSU rRNA". It matches the Rfam family "Bacterial small subunit ribosomal RNA", at positions 355 to 776 of the family's 1533-position model. The record is from RNAcentral. RNAcentral also lists the same sequence under 1 other name.